UUCCGGUUGAUCCUGCCGGACCCGACUGCUAUUUGGGUGAGAAUAAGCCAUGCGAGUUGAAUGGAAUACCUAAAUUUUCCAUGGCAAACUGCUCAGUAACACAUGAUCAACUUACCCUAUAGAGAAAAAUAACCUCGGGAAACUGAGGAUAAUGUUUCAUAGUUGAAAAGGCUUGGAAAAGUUUUUCAAUUAAAGGGAUAAGAAAAAUGGUUCUUAUCUGCUAUAGGAUAGGAUCGUGGUCGAUUAUGGUUGUUGGUGAGGUAAUGGCUCACCAAGCCGAUAAUCGAUAGGGGCCGUGAGAGCGGGAGCCCCGAGAUGGGUACUGAGACAACGACCCAGGCCUUACGAGGCGCAGCAGGCGCGAAACCUCCGCAAUACACGAAGGUGUGACGGGGUUACCCAAAGUGUUCAAUUUUGAACUGUGGUAGGUGAGUAAUGUUCCCUACUAGAAAGGAGAGGGCAAGGCUGGUGCCAGCCGCCGCGGUAAAACCAGCUCUUCAAGUGGUCGGGAUAAUUAUUGGGCUUAAAGUGUCCGUAGCCGGUUUAGUAAGUUCCUGGUAAAAUCGGGUAGCUUAACUAUCUGUAUGCUAGGAAUACUGCUAUACUAGAGGACGGGAGAGGUCUGAGGUACUACAGGGGUAGGGGUGAAAUCUUAUAAUCCUUGUAGGACCACCAGUGGCGAAGGCGUCAGACUGGAACGUGCCUGACGGUGAGGGACGAAAGCCAGGGGAGCGAACCGGAUUAGAUACCCGGGUAGUCCUGGCCGUAAACGAUGCAUACUAGGUGAUGGCAUGGCCAUGAGCCGUGUCAGUGCCGUAGGGAAACCGUUAAGUGUGCCGCCUGGGAAGUACGGUCGCAAGGCUAAAACUUAAAGGAAUUGGCGGGGGAGCACCACAAGGGGUGAAGCCUGCGGUUCAAUUGGAUUCAACGCCGGGAAUCACUAGUGCGGC
Molecule: ribosomal RNA, 950 nt
Filed under: uncultured archaeon
Lineage: Archaea
Description: bacterial SSU rRNA
Rfam family: Archaeal small subunit ribosomal RNA
Source: RNAcentral